GGUAACAGGAAGCAGCUUGCUGUUUCGCUGACGAGUGGCGGACGGGUGAGUAAUGUCUGGGAAACUGCCUGAUGGAGGGGGAUAACUACUGGAAACGGUAGCUAAUACCGCAUAACGUCGCAAGACCAAAGAGGGGGACCUUCGGGCCUCUUGCCAUCGGAUGUGCCCAGAUGGGAUUAGCUAGUAGGUGGGGUAACGGCUCACCUAGGCGACGAUCCCUAGCUGGUCUGAGAGGAUGACCAGCCACACUGGAACUGAGACACGGUCCAGACUCCUACGGGAGGCAGCAGUGGGGAAUAUUGCACAAUGGGCGCAAGCCUGAUGCAGCCAUGCCGCGUGUAUGAAGAAGGCCUUCGGGUUGUAAAGUACUUUCAGCGGGGAGGAAGGGAGUAAAGUUAAUACCUUUGCUCAUUGACGUUACCCGCAGAAGAAGCACCGGCUAACUCCGUGCCAGCAGCCGCGGUAAUACGGAGGGUGCAAGCGUUAAUCGGAAUUACUGGGCGUAAAGCGCACGCAGGCGGUUUGUUAAGUCAGAUGUGAAAUCCCCGGGCUCAACCUGGGAACUGCAUCUGAUACUGGCAAGCUUGAGUCUCGUAGAGGGGGGUAGAAUUCCAGGUGUAGCGGUGAAAUGCGUAGAGAUCUGGAGGAAUACCGGUGGCGAAGGCGGCCCCCUGGACGAAGACUGACGCUCAGGUGCGAAAGCGUGGG
RNAcentral lists this ribosomal RNA (708 nucleotides) under Shigella flexneri. RNAcentral describes it as "bacterial SSU rRNA". It matches the Rfam family "Bacterial small subunit ribosomal RNA", at positions 68 to 765 of the family's 1533-position model. Lineage: Bacteria; Pseudomonadati; Pseudomonadota; Gammaproteobacteria; Enterobacterales; Enterobacteriaceae. The record is from RNAcentral.